AUGGGAUUGGGGUUGAACUGGAUUUUCUUGGUUGUCGUUUUGAAAGGUAUACAUUGUGAAGUGCAGCUGGUUGAGUCUGGUGGAGGACUGGCCCAGCCCAAGGAGUCAUUGAAGCUCUCCUGUGCAGCCUCUGGAUUCACCUUCACUAGCUAUGCCAUGUACUGGGUCUUCCAAUCUCCAGGAAAAGGUCUGGAAUGGGUUGCUACCAUAGGAGUUAGAAGUAAUAAUUAUGUAACCUAUUAUGUCGAUUCGGUGAAAGACAGAUUCACCAUCUCCAGAGAUGAUUCCCAAAGCAAAGUCUUCCUUCAAAUGAACAACCUGAGAACUGAGGACACAGCCAUUUAUUACUGUACACAGGACACAGUGAGGACUCUUGUGUGA
Chionomys nivalis (European snow vole) is the source of this 381-nucleotide non-coding RNA. The record is from the annotation of a RefSeq genome assembly. Lineage: Eukaryota; Metazoa; Chordata; Mammalia; Rodentia; Cricetidae.